GAUAAAUCACCAGCAACAGCAGGUUUUUUAAAAUUAAACGUGUCGUUAAAGCUGAGAUAGACUCAACGACGUAUUCGAGAUGGGCUUGCCUUUCUAAUUAACACAAGAUGGCAGCGGCUCCAGACACUGUUGCAGCCGUGUUUCGAGCUUGCCCAACGUGCUUACGCAAAGAAAGAGCUCAGUUUUGAUGAGGCAGGCGACAGGCUCGUCCUUAUUGACCCAGUCUUCAUCUAGUUCAUCCUCAC
Long non-coding RNA from Atta colombica, 245 nucleotides. RefSeq lists it as uncharacterized. The transcript has 3 exons. Lineage: Eukaryota; Metazoa; Arthropoda; Insecta; Hymenoptera; Formicidae. The record is from RefSeq and is a predicted model, not a curated record.